UCGCUAGGUUUGCAACUACGUGUCCCAGACUGCAUCCCUGCUGAGAGUCCCUCCCUCCCUUCUCAUGUUGCAGGAAGAACGUAAGCGCCCGCCCCUUGUCAAUCAGUCACCAUAUAAUUUUGGAUUGGUUGUUGUGGUGAAGUUUUCCACCAAUAGGAGAGAUGUUGUGGUGUGUUUUUUUUUCUUUUGGCAAGCCUUUUCCGCCUGUAAGACCUGUCGCUAAUGUCUGCAUGCUAUGUUUUCCUGUCUCAUACAGCGCGAUCGAGCGCCGAACGUGAUCAAAAUAAGCAGAAAAAAAGUAUCGCGGACAUAAUUUAUCAUAACUCUGGUUUUAUUUGGCCUAUCAACACAAUUUAAAAACUGGUAUAUAGGUUGAGGUCCUCACUUUUGAGAUAAGUUGAAACGGAGAGUCAACGAGGCUCCGUCUUGCAGCUACAUCCGGUUAAAUAUGUCAUGUGACUUGAACGCACACACAGACACACACACACACUCAGAGUCUGGUUUUUAGCACCUGCAAAAACAUGCUAUUUACAUAUUUGACAAGAAUGCAGAGGCUCCUUUUGCCCCUGAAAAAAAUCAAAUUUCAAACACAACUUGACUGGUCAUUUCUCCAAAAGACAACCAUGAAGCUCCAUCCAAACCUGAAGCAGGCAGUUGGUGCAUGUGUACAGUAACCUGAGGGGAGUGAGGUGAGUGCUUCUGAGGAGAACAUGAGCAGUGAAGAUUCACCUUGGAGCUAGAACAGAGACAUGCACAUGAUUAUACAGGGGCAGGGGCUCAAGUUUUUUCCAGUCGUUUAUACAAUAUGGAAAUUAAUGUGAAAUUAAAACACAAAGUAUUAAUAGAAAGGUAAUGACUGUCCUGUGUAGGUGACAGUGAUAUCCAAUAGGCUAGGCACUCACGAGGCUGGCUGUGGCAAGUGUAAGUGAAAGCAACACGCACUGGCAGGAAGAACAGCAAACGCCGAUGAAGGAAAAGGGUCUUUGCAGUGAUGGGCGUUACCAGAGAGGGCGAUGGCCAGAGGACACAAAUGGGACGGGAAGGCAGCACGUUGGGGGGGGGGGGGGGGGAUGCGACACGGCUCGGGCCCGCCAGUGCCCCAACGGGGCCCUAGUUAUUAUUUUUCCUCCCCUUUGAACUGGAAAAUGGCCCACUUCCCACUGGCGAAAACUCAUGAAAUUUGGCAGGACGACCGGGCCUGGUGAAAAAUUUGAUAUUCCGAAGUCGCCCAAACAAGAAAAUGCAAAAUGGCUCCAUAGCGCCCCCUAAGGUGAAAAUUCACACUAUUGACUGUCACGCCUGUACGCUUUGUCAAAAUGACACAAAAAUUGACACACACAUGUAUCUCAAUAAGAUCUACAAAAAAGUCAGUGCGGGCGUAUCUGUCAAAUGUACGGUUAAAGGGUUAUUUCGCAUUUUUUGCCGAUCCGCACACAUUGGAAUUUCGCUAACUCCUCCGAAGGCUUUCGUUCCACCGGCACCACAUUUGCUCAGGCCAAUCUACACCCCAUGGCCAUUAAAAGUUAUUCAAAUCAUGACGCUGCACCCCACGGUUUAGGUUCUAGGGGGCGCCAAAGAUAACCCUAAGAUCCACAUAUUUAAAAGUCUUAUAACUUUUUAUUUUUGCCCUCACUGGCCUCCAAGUUUUCUAGGAUGAUGCAAUGUCCAGCCAUCAACACAUUUGUGAAGGAAUUUUUACUCCCCAAAAGAGCGCCCCCCCAUGGCAGGAGAAAAAAGUCCAUUUUUUCUUGUCCCCUAAGGUGAAAAUACACAUUGUUGAGUGUAACACCUGUACGCUUUGGCAAAAUGACACAAAAAUUGACACACACAUGUAUCUCAAUAAGAUCUACGAAAAAGUCAAUGCGCGCGUAUCUGUCAAAUGUACGGUUAAAGGGUUAUUCCGCAUUUUUUGCCGAUCCGCACACAUUGGAAUUUCGCUAACUCCUCCGAAGGCUUUCGUUCCACCGGCACCACAUUUGCUCAGGCCAAUCUACACCCCAUGGCCAUUAAAAGUUAUUCAAAUCAUGACGCUGCACCCCACGGUUUAGGUUCUAGGGGGCGCCAAAGAUAACCCUAAAAUCCACAUAUUUAAAAGUCUUAUAACUUUUUAUUUUUGUCCUCACUGGCCUCCAAGUUUUCUAGGAUGAUGCAAUGUCCAGCCAUCAACACAUUUGUGAAGGAAUUUUUACUCCCCAAAAGAGCGCCCCCCCAUGGCAGGAGAAAAAAGUCCAUUUUUUCUUGUCCCCUAAGGUGGAAAUUCACACUAUUGACUGUCACGCCUGUACGCUUUAUCAUAUUGACACAAAAAUUGACACACAUAUGUAUCUCAAUAAGAUCUACAAAAAAGUCAAUGCGCGCGUAUCUGUCAAAUAUACGGUUAAAGGGCUAUUUUGCAUUUUUUGCCGAUUCGCACACAUUGGAAUGUGGCUAACUCCUCCUAAGGCUUUCGUCCCACUGACACCAAAUUUGCUCAGGCCAAUCUACACCCCAUGGCCAUUCAAAGUUGUAAAAAUCAUGACGCUGCACCCCACGGUUUACGUUCUAGGGGGCGCCAAAGAUGACCCAAAAAUCCACAUUCUUAAAGGAAUCCACAUCCCCCCCAAGGCAGGAGAAAAAGUCAAGUUAACCCUGCCCAUCGCUCAAUGGCUCAAUCGCAUCGCUCUCCAGGCAACACCGUAAGGAGGAGCAACCUGCCAUUUCGAUAUAUCAUAGCUGUGUUUGUGCCCUCACUCAUGGUCCAGACUUUUUUCAAAUAGGACAUGAAGUUUGUCUGCAGCGAGUGUUUUGGUAGAAACUGCGCCUCCCAUUCAUUAUAAUGGGAAAUGACCACAGACAAGUGCGCACACCAUCUUUGGACCUUGAGUGUGACGCGAUCGGGAGGGGGAGGCGGUCGCGCUAGGGGCGGCGCGACGCGGCUCGGGCCCGACAGUGCCCCACCGGGGCCCUAGUUGUUUCUUUCUUUCUUCUUUUUCCUCCCCUUUGAACUGGAAAAUGGCCCACUUCCCACUGGCGAAAACUCAUGAAAUUUGGCAGGAUGACCGGGCCUGGUGAAAAAUUUGAUAUUCCGAAGUCGCCCAAACAAGAAAAUGCAAAAUGGCUCCAUAGCGCCCCCUAAGGUGAAAAUUCACACUAUUGACUGUCACGCCUUUACGCUUUGUCAAAAUGACACAAAAAUUGACACACAUAUGUAUCUCAAUAAGAUCUACAAAAAAGUCAGUGCGGGCGUAUCUGUCAAAUGUACGGUUAAAGGGUUAUUUCGCAUUUUUUGCCGAUCCGCACACAUUGGAAUUUCGCUAACUCCUCCUAAGGCUUUCGUUCCACCGGCACCACAUUUGCUCAGGCCAAUCUACACCCCAUGGCCAUUAAAAGUUAUUCAAAUCAUGACGCUGCACCCCACGGUUUAGGUUCUAGGGGGCGCCAAAGAUAACCCUAAAAUCCACAUAUUUAAAAGUCUUAUAACUUUUUAUUUUUGCCCUCACUGGCCUCCAAUUUUUCUAGGAUGAUGCAAUGUCCAGCCAUCAACACAUUUGUGAAGGAAUUUUUACUCCCCAAAAGAGCGCCCCCCCAUGGCAGGAGAAAAAAGUCAAUUUUUUCUUGUCCCCUAAGGUGAAAAUACACAUUGUAGAGUGUCACGCCUGUACGCUUUGUCAAAAUGACACAAAAUUUGACAUACACGUGUAUUUCAAUAAGAUCUUCGAAAAAGUCAAUGGCCACGUAUCUGUAAAAUGUACAGUUAAAGGGUUAUGUCGCAUUUUUUGCCGAUCCGCACACAUUGGAAUUUCGCUAACUCCUCCGAAGGCUUUCGUUCCACCGGCACCACAUUUGCUCAGGCCAAUCUACACCCCAUGGCCAUAAAAAGUUAUUCAAAUCAUGACGCUGCACCCCACGGUUUAGGUUCUAGGGGGCGCCAAAGAUAACCGUAAAAUCCACAUAUUUAAAAGUCUUAUAACUUUUUAUUGUUGUCCCCACUGGCCUCCAAGUUUUCUAGGAUGAUGCAAUGUCCAGCCAUCAACA
Molecule: non-coding RNA, 4014 nt
Organism: Xyrichtys novacula (pearly razorfish)
Lineage: Eukaryota; Metazoa; Chordata; Actinopteri; Labriformes; Labridae
Source: the annotation of a GenBank genome assembly